AUGAACGCUGGCGGCGUGCCUAAUACAUGCAAGUCGAGCGAACAGACGAGGAGCUUGCUCCUCUGACGUUAGCGGCGGACGGGUGAGUAACACGUGGAUAACCUACCUAUAAGACUGGGAUAACUUCGGGAAACCGGAGCUAAUACCGGAUAAUAUAUUGAACCGCAUGGUUCAAUAGUGAAAGACGGUUUUGCUGUCACUUAUAGAUGGAUCCGCGCCGCAUUAGCUAGUUGGUAAGGUAACGGCUUACCAAGGCAACGAUGCGUAGCCGACCUGAGAGGGUGAUGAGACACCUUGGAAGUGACACACGAGGCGGACUGCUACGGGAGGGACCAGUGGGGUAUGUGGGUGAAUGGUAGAGAGUAUGAAGCAGUAAUGACGCAGGAAAGAUAAAGGUGUAAGGAACGUAAGACUCUGUUAUCAGUGACAAACAAGUGUGCAAGUAACAACGCGCGGCAAGACGGUGCCUAAGAAGAAGGCCGGGGAUAACUACGUG
This 496-nucleotide ribosomal RNA is filed under the name uncultured bacterium. Its description in RNAcentral is "partial 16S ribosomal RNA". It matches the Rfam family "Bacterial small subunit ribosomal RNA", at positions 30 to 507 of the family's 1533-position model. The record is from RNAcentral.